AUUCCUACGGGAGGCAGCAGGGGGGAAUAUUGGACAAUGGGCCACAAGCCUGAUCCAGCAAUUCUGUGUGCACGAUGAAGGUCUUCGGAUCGUAAAGUGCUUUCAGUUGGGAAGAAGAAAGUGACGGUACCAACAGAAGAAGCGACGGCUAAAUACGUGCCAGCAGCCGCGUAAUAAU
This 178-nucleotide ribosomal RNA is filed under the name uncultured bacterium. Its description in RNAcentral is "partial 16S ribosomal RNA". It matches the Rfam family "Bacterial small subunit ribosomal RNA", at positions 335 to 526 of the family's 1533-position model. The record is from RNAcentral.